AUGGCUCCUUUGUUGGGUUUGUUUUGGCAAGAUUUGGAUUCAAAUGAUCAUUCCUCUUUGUAUGCUUUCAUGUAAUAACCUCAAUACACUUUGUGCACGAACAGGAGAUGGGUUGCAUCAUUAUUUAGGCCUAAUCCAUUUCUCAUGCAUCCAUGUAACUUGGUUUACAAUUUUGGCAAUAUUUCAAGUGUUGCAAAGAUCAAUUUCCUUGCCUAUUUAAACAAGCUCAUGGCCUCAGAAUUCACAUAAACACCUUGCCCAAACUUUGCCAAGAGAACUCAUACCCU
Molecule: long non-coding RNA, 287 nt
Filed under: Lathyrus oleraceus (garden pea)
Lineage: Eukaryota; Viridiplantae; Streptophyta; Magnoliopsida; Fabales; Fabaceae
Description: Pisum sativum (pea) long non-coding RNA (PSAT_LNC022779)
Source: RNAcentral